CCUACGGGUGGCAGCAGUGGGGAAUAUUGGACAAUGGGGGCAACCCUGAUCCAGCCAUGCCGCGUGUGUGAAGAAGGCCCUCGGGUUGUAAAGCACUUUCAGUGAGGAAGAACGCCUGGUGGUUAAUACCCAUCAGGAAAGACAUCACUCACAGAAGAAGCACCGGCUAACUCCGUGCCAGCAGCCGCGGUAAUACGGAGGGUGCGAGCGUUAAUCGGAAUUACUGGGCGUAAAGCGCGCGUAGGUGGCUUGAUAAGCCGGUUGUGAAAGCCCCGGGCUCAACCUGGGAACGGCAUCCGGAACUGUCAAGCUAGAGUGCAGGAGAGGAAGGUAGAAUUCCCGGUGUAGCGGUGAAAUGCGUAGAGAUCGGGAGGAAUACCAGUGGCGAAGGCGGCCUUCUGGACUGACACUGACACUGAGGUGCGAAAGCGUGGGUAGCAAACAGAAUUAGAUACCCUUGUAGUC
This 465-nucleotide ribosomal RNA is filed under the name Vreelandella stevensii. RNAcentral's name for it is "partial 16S ribosomal RNA". It matches the Rfam family "Bacterial small subunit ribosomal RNA", at positions 338 to 795 of the family's 1533-position model. Lineage: Bacteria; Pseudomonadati; Pseudomonadota; Gammaproteobacteria; Oceanospirillales; Halomonadaceae. The record is from RNAcentral.